This 405-nucleotide ribosomal RNA is filed under the name Ilyoplax pingi. Its description in RNAcentral is "partial 12S ribosomal RNA". The record is from RNAcentral. Lineage: Eukaryota; Metazoa; Arthropoda; Malacostraca; Decapoda; Dotillidae.
UAUAUACUUUAAAAUUAAAAAAUUUGGCGGUGACUUAAUCUUAUUAGAGGAAUUUGUUUUUUAAUCGAUACACCACGUAAAAUUUCACUUAUUUUUGUAAAUUUACAGCUUGUAUACCAUCAUUAUUAGAUAAUUCUUAAAGGAAUAAAUUUUUAAAAUUGAUUGUUUAAUAAAAUUAGAUCAAGGUGCAGUCUAUGAAUAAGUUAAAAUGAAUUACAAUAAAUUAUUUUAUUACGAANUAAUAUAUGAAAUUGUAUUAUAAAGGAGGAUUUAAUUGUAUUAUGAGUUUAAUAAGCUUAUAAGGAAUAAGUUCUAAGUUGUGUACAUAUCGCCCGUCGCUUCCAUUACAUAAAAGGAAUAAGUCGUAACAUAGUAGAUAUACUGGAAAGUGUAUCUAGAAUGGAA